CCUACGGGCGGCUGCAGUGGGGAAUAUUGGACAAUGGGCGAAAGCCUGAUCCAGCCAUGCCGCGUGUGUGAAGAAGGCCUUCGGGUUGUAAAGCACUUUCAGUGGGGAAGAAAGCCUUGGGGCUAAUACCCUCGAGGAAGGACAUCACCCACAGAAGAAGCACCGGCUAACUCCGUGCCAGCAGCCGCGGUAAUACGGAGGGGUGCGAGCGUUAAUCGGAAUUACUGGGCGUAAAGCGCGCGUAGGCGGUCUGAUAAGCCGGUUGUGAAAGCCCCGGGCUCAACCUGGGAACGGCAUCCGGAACUGUCAGGCUAGAGUGCAGGAGAGGAAGGUAGAAUUCCCGGUGUAGCGGUGAAAUGCGUAGAGAUCGGGAGGAAUACCAGUGGCGAAGGCGGCCUUCUGGACUGACACUGACGCUGAGGUGCGAAAGCGUGGGUAGCAAACAGGAUUAGAUACCCCGGUAGUC
This 466-nucleotide ribosomal RNA is filed under the name Vreelandella stevensii. RNAcentral's name for it is "partial 16S ribosomal RNA". It matches the Rfam family "Bacterial small subunit ribosomal RNA", at positions 338 to 795 of the family's 1533-position model. Lineage: Bacteria; Pseudomonadati; Pseudomonadota; Gammaproteobacteria; Oceanospirillales; Halomonadaceae. The record is from RNAcentral.